Molecule: ribosomal RNA, 253 nt
Filed under: uncultured bacterium
Lineage: Bacteria
Description: partial 16S ribosomal RNA
Rfam family: Bacterial small subunit ribosomal RNA
Source: RNAcentral
UACGAAGGGGGCUAGCGUUGUUCGGAAUCACUGGGCGUAAAGCGCAUGCAGGCGGACUGAUAAGUCAGGGGUGAAAGCCCGAGGCUCAACCUCGGAACUGCCUUUGAUACUGUCAGUCUUGAGUCCGGGAGAGGUGAGUGGAACUCCGAGUGUAGAGGUGAAAUUCGUAGAUAUUCGGAAGAACACCAGUGGCGAAGGCGGCUCACUGGCCCGGUACUGACGCUGAGAUGCGAAAGCGUGGGGAGCAAACAGG